Long non-coding RNA from Callithrix jacchus (white-tufted-ear marmoset), 788 nucleotides. RefSeq lists it as uncharacterized. NCBI's taxonomy places the organism in Eukaryota, Metazoa, Chordata, Mammalia, Primates, Cebidae. The record is from RefSeq and is a predicted model, not a curated record.
GGAAGGGGCGGGGAAUGGGGCGGGGUCAGGCGGCUCUGGGGGAUUCCUCCGGAAUCGCGAAGGGGCCGGAUGCGGGGGCGAGGCUGUGGUGAAGGCGCUGGCCACAGAAAGGGGAAGAAAGAGAUAAGACUAUGAGACAGAAAGAGAACCUGGGGAGGGAGGGACAGAGACCCCGACCGGAAGAGACCAGGGAGCCAAAAGCCAAAACAGACCAACCACGUGUUUCUGCACGGGCCCCUUCCUCCUUCUGGGGCUCAGUUUACCCACCUGGGUCAUAGAAAUUUAGGCAGAAGGAUGUUUCUCAAACUACGGCCUCGGGGAACCCUUUAUAAAUGCAGAUUCCAGCUAGGUGUGGUGGCUCACGCCUGGAAUCCCAGCACUUUGAGAUCCCUUUAAUCCAGCAGUUUGCAACCAGCCUGGGCAGCAUAGGGAGACCCUGUCUCUACAGAAAAAUAAAAAUAAAAAAUAAAUUUAAAAAGUUAAAAAUACAGAUUCCUGUGCCACCAGAAGGGAUGAGUCUAACCCAGGAAGCCAGACGACACAUUGUUGAGGGCCUGUCGCAUAUCCUGAGCUGCACACCGGAUUCGGGAAGACCGUGGCGCGGGCCUCAGGAGGCAAAAACACAAAGUCUCAUUUUGUCAUCCAGGCUGGAGUGCAGUGGUGCAAUCACAGCUCACUUCGACCUCAACUUACUGGGCUCAAGCAAUCCUCUCACCUCGCCCUCCCAAGUAGCUGGAAUCACAGGUGUACACCACCAUGCUUCGCUAAUUAAAAAAAAAUUUUUUUGA